RNAcentral lists this long non-coding RNA (281 nucleotides) under Elaeis guineensis (African oil palm). Its description in RNAcentral is "long non-coding RNA (EGUI_LNC047434)". The record is from RNAcentral. Lineage: Eukaryota; Viridiplantae; Streptophyta; Magnoliopsida; Arecales; Arecaceae.
AUUAGGACUAGAUCAAUUAAGUUAUAUAAUCAUACAAUUAUUGUUGAUCAAAUCGAUUGAAUCCCAUAUAUAGAAUCGAUUAACCUAAGGACCUAAUUUGGCUCGAAGAUUUGAACCCAAUUUGUUUGAAUUAACCUAUUUGGACCAAUUGAUCUAUUGAUGUUUAAGGCAAGUAAUUGAGAUAUAAUUAUUUAAUUGAUUUCGUUAGCUGAUCUGAUCAAUUUAUUGGUGUCUAAGGAAAGCAACGGGGGGACCCCCAUCGAUCUCUACUUAUCUGGCCA